CACUGAGGCGCGUGAUUGACGCAAGCGGUGUUUCUAAAAUUAGCAGCGGGCGACUCAACGGCGAAAGAUAGCCGAGGUCCCAUUCAUUCGUUCGGGGCGGGUCCGUUUAUUUUAGAAAUUUGAUUGUGCUCCAGCCAAGCCAAAUAUAGUCGUAGACAGGUAUUUUUAGCGGAAGCGCGUCCCCGUUUUUCUGCUUGGUAAUGGGUCGUUCACCGAUACCCCUGCGUUGCGACGAUGUGUAGUUAACUAACGCGCUGGGCAGCUAGUUGUGUCGGUGCAUGUUAUAUGGACCCGAUUAAAAGAGUUAAACGUGUUAGACACCCACCACUCCGACCCCUGUGUUUGUGGAAAAGGCGCUGAACCUGCAGUCGUACCAGCUGCGUCCUUCGGAACUUUUUUUUAAAAAACUUCCAGCAAACGGAGGGAUUUAGGGGGAGGGGAGGUGGGGUGGUUUAGUCGUUUGUUGGAAACUGACGUGUGGGUGAGCUGGGGUCACGGAUCGGAAACUGGGAACUCCUUGGGUAGAUCGCGGAUACUGUUAACGCUGCAGGUUUGUAGAGGUAGCAGCAUGUGCGCUUACACCGUUCACACAGACUAACUUUGUCUUUUUAUAGUAACAGUCACCCGCUCCUUAAGUUUUACUCCGGUAACUACUAAGUGACAGGACAUAAUGGCGAAAAUCUUUUUAUUUUUCCAAAUAAUACCUUGUUUCUUGCACGCCUGUAACUUACGUGUGGUUGUCUCGGCUUUGCUUGAGCACCCGGUUAACGUGACGAACCGACCGUGUUGUCAUUAACCCGAGUUGUGUAUCUUAUAGAUUCUUUCCCCGGACUUUUUGGCAGCCGGUUGUGUCGCUGAAUCCGGUGCAUCACAAGCAUUCGGGCGGGUAGCUGGCGUAUGUGUUGGUCCUCCUUUAUAGUAGACACUGCAUGGUCACUGCUGGUCCGUUGUGUACUAUCAGACAUACUAUAAUAUACUAUAUAAUGCAUUUGCACAACUUUAGUUAACACGCCCUAAUGAUCCAUGUUUGUUUACGAAAGGGAAUUACAACGAGGCAACAUGGGUAGGGGGGAAUCCCUUAGUACUACAGCUUUGAUCCAUUGAGGAGUUUUGGCCUGAUUGUCCGCUUAUGGUUAAAAAGUGCAUUUACGGCAGGAUCGUCGAUCCUGGGUUGUAAUAUUACCCCCCCCACACACACACACACUCUCUCUCUCUAGAAAAUGUAAAUAAUGCAUGUAUAUAAAACUCCCGAUUUUUUUACAUCAGAGUGGGGAGUUUACAUUACUUGCAUAUUAUAAAAUGAGCAUUCUUCUUUCUUACAGUAUGAAUUUCACAUAAUCAUUAUGCGCUUUCGUAAUUAGGAGACUGGCGCUUAUUUGACGUUUUUAGACGUCCAGCGGGUCUUACAUAAUUCGUAAGCGUCUGUGGUUUUGCAGCCUGAAGGCUGGCCGACACAAAGCCUUCCGUAAGCGGGGACCCGGGGGUCACUUGGUCCGCUGGAAGCUCUUCGCGAUGACGAGCGGCUUCGCAUUCAGAAAUUACGCCACCAAAAUGAGGCAGAUUGAAAUCUGAAAGCUGCUGUCCGACUGCUGUCAUCCGCUUCUUGUUAGGAUAAAAUGAGUGUUAACGUAACCAACCGGUAAUAGCCAUAAUGAACUCUUUUUUUUAUUUUAUUUUAUCUUUAAAGGACAGGGGCUGUAGUGACGUAAAGACGUAGAAGAUGAUCUUCCCUUUGGUCCGCACUAGACAUUCUGUUUUCUGUAAAUGAAAAGUAAACAUUUUUGUUAAAAAUAUAACAAAAAUUGUAUUUGGAUGGUUUUAGAAUUUAUGUAUAACAUGUAAGUCCCCUGUGUUUCCUUAAAACUGCCCUGUUGAAUAGAGUGCUGUACUUACAAAGAGUGGCCUUGAUUCGACUUGUGAAAUUUUCUGUGCUUUGUCAGAGGGGUAAUUGUGCUGCUGGCAAAGCUUGGAGCCGCUGAAAGGCAGCCUAAUUCUGGGGAUGGCCCAGACGUCGAUUGUCCAGGAAAGCUCACGGGAUUUCCCUAGCUGUAAUGGAACCAUCUGAAUCUUAUCUCAUCAUCGCGGCACACACACACACACACACCGGCUCUCACUUAGCGCUCUGUACGAGGGGGGCCAGGCUGUUGGCCCUGGAGGACAGAAGGAAUCCAAUCACACUUUUCUGGGGGUUCGAGUCCUGGAUAGACGGAGAAGCCUGGAUGCAGACUGGCUAAGAUAUUUAAGGGGUGUUUCUUCUUUCAAAAGCCGCCCAAUAAUAUCUGAGCUAUAAUUCAUAUACCUUGUAAAUUCUGUUGAUGUUGGUGUCUGGUGCUGUGCCACGGCUGCUGACGCCUUCCCUUGGGUUAUGGACCUCUAUGCUGUAAGAGUUAACCGUCUCCGGUGCAGCUGAACACAUGAUUAAAAGACAGCCGCAUGUGUCCUAGAUCACUACAUUCAUUUAUUCUUUGGAUGUGACAGUAUUUAAAAUACACAUAUUUGUCCUCCAGCUAUUUUUUAAAUAAAUAAAGUUAAGCCUUAUGUUCUGCAGUUCAGCCUUUGAACUUGCAAACCUUUUUUUCUCACAAGUCUAGUUCCUGAACCACCGGCGACUACCUUGUCCCUGUCAGGUAUUUGCUGGUUCUCCUUCUCGACAAAUGGUCACGUGUUGCUUCUCCCCUCCAAUGGGACACACCUUUGAGAGUUCAACCUACCAUUCGACUAACUGGGUGAUACUGUGGCCUAGCUUUAGCAUUAGCAUGCCUGCACUGUAACUGCUGUGAGCUGGUAUUAGCUUUAGCAUUCGUCUCAGUACCUCUUGUGGCCUGGUGUUAGCAUUAGCUUUAGCAUUCUUCCCAGCAACUCUUGUGGCCUGGUGUUCGCAUUAGCUUUAGCAUUCUUCCCAGCAACUCUUGUGGCCUGGUGUUAGCAUUAGCGUUCUUAUUCUUCCCAGCAACUCUUGUGGCCUGGUGUUAGCAUUAGCGUUCUUACUCAGUGGCUGGUCUUUGUGGUUAGUAACAGUCACAUGUUGCAUGCUCACCAUGCAUCUAUGGUGAUUGUCCUGCGAUUACUUGCUUACAGACAGACACCUGCGUUUAAACGAUAAACCUCAGUCAAUCUCUGCCUUUUGUCUUUGGCCCUCGACCUGUCAUACAGGCCGUUGCAUAUAACUAGACCCCCACAUCAUCUGAUUAACUGAAUGAUAUAAGGUGAAUGAAACACUUUCCCAGAACUUAAGCGCUUUCCCAUCAUGACCGUGUGUUUAACUGUAUGUUAACCAUAGCUUUGCAUUUUUUGCCAUUGUUUAGAUUGGCCAUUGAAUGGCAAAUUACAGGUUGGAGCGAGUCUGCGUGGAUCUUUCUGUAGGCUGAGAUGACUAUCGCUUCCCUUGCGGGCUUCUGUCAGCGUCAGACCAGUUUUUAAACAUUUUAUAUUGUCACGAUGUUUGUGCCAAAUGCCAUAUAUGAGGUGACAUCUUGCAGUGUUUCACACCAGAGAAUGGCAGAGCAAGAAGUGAUACGAGCAAAAAAUACAGGUCAGGGCUCAGGGCGUGGAUACCAGCCUUUGCUUGGAACUCGAAUAUCUGUUCCAUGAAUGUGGAAAAAGGUUCUGUUCUGCUGCUGUGAGGUUUAACUGGAGUGUAUAAUGCUGCUCGAUCUGUGAUGUUUUAUAAGGUUGCUACACUCUAACCUUUUGAUAGCGUGGGGGGGAAUCCCCUGCCCUGCCCCAUUCAGCCCACGCUGGGUAUGAGUCACACGGUCUACCUGAAUGGUAUCUCUCAGAAAGGCCAGUUUCUGUGGGCGCUGGGUGGGGUUGGGUGAGCGAGUGGCAUCCGGCUCUGAGAGGGGGCUGUUUGGGUCCAUGGGGAGCUUCUUCUGAAGGAGAUGGGGGCCAAGAGAGCGGAGAGCACGAGAGCGCUGUAACCCACGCAGAGCUGUGUGUCGCACUGAGACCUUUGCUCUUGCCUGCACUGGCUUGCUCCUUCUGCUGGGUCGAAGGUCUCACGUGGCUAACUGUGCUGUUAGCACAGUGCUAAGUGUUCCGGCUAGUAGGUUUACCUCCAAAUCCCCGAGCCCAUGGUCCCCGCUUUAAAGGCACUGAAGUUGUUUACUACACGCCGUGGGCGGUAACUAACAAACAAAACUCACUGCUGUCCCUCGGAGCGACAUUCCAGGAGCUGAGAUUUAUCUUUGCUUAAUGUCCUGCUCCUUUUCGCUGUUGUAUUGAAAACCUGUGAGCCUCUGCGUUUGUCAGUGACAGGAAGUCGCAUCCUGUGGUCUGUGGGAAGGAGGCAGUUCCGGGCACCUAGGACAGGACAGAAUGCAUGUAUGCAUUCUGUGGUCAUUUUAAUCAAUAAUUCACUGGAGAACAUUACUUAUUCAGUAAUAUGAAUAUACAGUACAUUUUGAAUUUAUUUGAAUACUUGGAUAGCACCCUUUAAAACAGGAAGAGGGCACAGAUCUCAUGGGACAGGGUGAAGUGAUGUCAAGUGACAAGCCGCUUUUACCUAAAAUGGGUUUCCUCGGUGUAAACCUGUCACCAAGCGCCCAAACACACAUUCUGGCCAGAUGUUCUUGCUGGUCCUUGAACCUGACAUCUGGUCUUGUGCUUCCUUCCCGUUCUUACAUUUCGUUUGGGUUCUGACCCUCCAUGUUGCAUUACCCAAAUAACUGAAGUGAGUCUUACAAGUCCUGAGCUAAAUGAUUCUUACCGAAGGCGAAGUAUGAGGGUGUGUAGACAUCUAAGAAACUUUAAUUAUAGGUUGAGAGAUGACCUCUAUGUGCAUUCACAGUCAUUCUCAUGAUGUAACAGCAAUUUGCCUGAAACGUGAUCAGAUAUAACGAUUUCGCAAUCGGUUCCCGGUCCGUCUUCCGGAAUCCCACACCCGUCGAUCCUUGCCACGUAGAGGUAGCCCUGCCGCGGUUCCGUCUCGGGCUCAUGGUUCUGCGUUAAUCUCUGCACAUGCCGACCAGAACCCUGACAUUCAGCCUGACAUUUCACCAUGUGAAUCAGCCGGUCGUCAUGCUUCUAGCAAGUUGCUCGUUUUCGCACCUCUGGACUUUUCACUCUGCAGUUUUGCUGCGUAGUUUCGUCCGUGUGAAUCUGUUUUUUUUUUUUUUUUAUAUAAUAAUGUUAUGCCAUGACAGCCAUACAUUAUUUUUUUUUUGGCACGUUGUUUAUGAGAGUUGGUGGUGAUUACCGAGUCUUAUUCACCACCCAGAUAAAAAAAAAAAAACUCUAGUUUCUUUUGUUGGGGACUCAGAGAGGCUUCCUUGUUUGUUUGUUUUUUCGAGUAGCUGAAUUAGGGUGAUUGUAUGUGUAAUAUUAUACUUGUUGUGUCCUGUGUCCGCAGCCUGGAGAUGUAAGGGCUUCUGGGAAGCAGGUGCCGCUCAGCCCGCUUGGUCAUGUGACCUGAGGCAGUGUGGCAGUCCCCGCUCUGCCCAUCGAGUGUGCGUGCUGCUGCUCCCGUGUCCCAUGAUCGGUUGUGGGAGGGGCAUUUAAAGUCAGGUCUUGUGAUGAGUCAUGUGAGAGAGUGGUUACCCCUGGGGUUCUGGGGUGUUGUCUUUGGGCCCGGGACUGCCUGUUCCCACUGAGGACAGGUGUUAGGGCUCGGGACCCCUGCCCCGUGGCCAGCCGCCUGUUAGCACGGGGGUGGGGGGUGUUAGACUUGGGUUUCAUGCACACAGCCACGCGAGCAGACGGCUGCCAGACACAAAGCCCUGAGCUGGUCGCUUAUCAGCAGCAGUGCUGCAGAUUAGUAUUUAUUUAUUUAUUUUUUAUUGGGACUGGCUGAAAUUAAAAUAUUUUUCCUGUGCUCUUCUUGAAAUGUGAUCUGGUUUCAUUGCUGAGCAGGAUUUAUAUUUAGACGUUGCUGUUUAAUGUUCUGCUUGGUGCCUUGCUGAGCUGGGUCGCCUUUCAACAAGAGCCAGCGGGGGGCCAUUUCAGUCGUGGAAUCCUCUUUUUUUCCAGAAUGAAAGUUGUGAUGAUCACUGUGAUUUGGUAACAUUUUACUUCUGCGGCCGCAAGUUACUCAGUAAUACAGUUACUACUCAGGUGCAAAUCCUGAACAAACAUAUUAAGAGCGUGAAAUAUAUGAACCGUUAUGAUUGAUUUAUGAUGAAUGAACAUGGGAUCAGUACGUAACUAACACUUAGUUUCUGGUUAAUUAAUACAUUAAUUAAGCGUGUACUACUACAUUAUUUGUGCCGCCUCAAGUAAAGUGUUACCUGUGAUUCUAAUUUCACUUCUGAAGUUGGGAAGAAAUUCUGUGUUCCAGUAUUUACGUGUCUCACCAGACAUUACUCUGUCGUGAUUUUUGACAAGCUUGCUCCAAACCAUGUUGCUGUUUGUCACCAUGAUGCCGACGACCUCCGACUCCUGUUUGAGGUGCCGAGGCCUGGACACAGUGCUGCAGCUUCAUGAGGACAGCUGGCAUCGGUUGACUGGCCAGAAAGUCCCGCGAAGCUUGCUAUCGACGUGGUGCGGGGAUGCGAGCGUGAGGAUGUGGACCCCUGGGAUGGAGACUGCAGCUUGAAGCGGAGGCUGAGGACCAGUCAUGUGACCAGGACCAGGGAGAGCGUGAGCACGUGUCGGGGAUUCCAGGAGAUCGCGUCACCCAGGCAAAAAUAAAAAAAAAAUGGCUCCGCUGGGACAGCAGCAGAUGUCAUGAGUGCUGGGUCUUGAUGAAGAUGCCACUGGGUGAAAGAAGAAGGUGGAUUUGAGACCAGGAGGUUGCAGGUUCAGAGCCCGUGAGAAGCGCUGCCGUGGAACUCCUCGUGCGAAUGUGAAAAUAAGCUUCACCCACGAGAAUCGGCUAAUAAAAAGAGUGAGCGAGUUGCGCUCUUGCGUGAUACGGCCCUAAGACGCGGCAUGUGGAGUGAGCGAGUUGCGCUCUUGCGUGAUACGCCCCGGCUGUUACCGACCUUUUGCGUAUCUCUGCAGGUCGCAGUUCUGCUAACGUGACGUUUACGUGGGAGUUCGUCCGGCGACAUUUUCGCCCUGUGCUGCUCUCUGUCGGCACGCCCGGCUGCCCUUUCAGUAUUUGUUGAAUCUCCUGGGCUUUGUCGUCCUCACCGUCACGGCGGUGAUGCUGCGUGGGUCGGGGCCCUCUGUGGAAACGGCAGCCCAGGGCACCACCUGCAGGCCGGCUUCCCAUAAAGCCCAGGGUGUCCCCGCCUCCAGAACGUGAAAGAUAACAAAAUGUUAAGUGAUUCCCAUCGCUCAGGCAUCCCGAUGAAAAGUAAACAAGAGGAUGACUAAGAGGUAGUUCUGUGAUUCAGAGGAACUGUCUCCUGGGAAAUCACUGAGAACCAUCUGGUUAUGACUUAAUGUUAGUGCCCUUAGAGAGCAGGGGAUGUGUGCUACUUGGGAAGCGAACAAUAAAGCAUGGAAUCCAGUGGUGCAAAACCAUGUGGGUAUUAGCUCUGAGCUCCUACCUUCAUUCCUUAAUGAUCUGGUGUGUGUGUAUAUAUAUGAAUAUAUAUGUGAAUGAAGGGUAUUUGAGGGUUGCUACUAUGCUUGAUUUUCAGGGAAUGCUCAGCUCAGUUUUGAAUUAAAUGGUUCAGUUAAAGCUGCAGGAUUUAGUAAAGUAUUAACCUGCAGAAAGGAUCCUCCAUGCAUCUAGUUAGACACCUUUGCUCUGUGAUGUUGUAGCCCUGCAGUUCUGUAGUGUGUCACUGCUAGUAUAUGUCUGUCAUGAUGGUGAGGUCUGUCCCUGCUUGUUCCUUGGUGUGCCUGCCAGUUCUGUUGUGCCUCACGGUGUGCGGGAAAUGUGUUCAG
Non-coding RNA from Paramormyrops kingsleyae, 7776 nucleotides. The record is from RefSeq and is a predicted model, not a curated record. Lineage: Eukaryota; Metazoa; Chordata; Actinopteri; Osteoglossiformes; Mormyridae.